GUCUCAGUGGCGUAGUGGUUAGCGCACGAGCCCCGGUUGGGCGCGAGACGCGCGGGUUCGAAUCCCGCCUGAGACG
RNAcentral lists this transfer RNA (76 nucleotides) under Nippostrongylus brasiliensis. It matches the Rfam family "tRNA". Rfam says of the family: Transfer RNA (tRNA) molecules are approximately 80 nucleotides in length. The record is from Rfam by way of RNAcentral. Lineage: Eukaryota; Metazoa; Nematoda; Chromadorea; Rhabditida; Heligmosomidae.